This 2795-nucleotide unclassified non-coding RNA is filed under the name Hevea brasiliensis (rubber tree). Lineage: Eukaryota; Viridiplantae; Streptophyta; Magnoliopsida; Malpighiales; Euphorbiaceae. The record is from RNAcentral.
GGAUGAGGCAAAGGAUGGCCAUAUCUGCAGGAGUAAUUAACAGCCCUUAACAAGAAAUCACAAUAACUUAUCAAAGGAAAAAAAUUGAAGCUCAUUCUUGAUAGAAGUUCUCCUCAAUGCUCAACAGAAAUCAUGUAUGCUAAAUAUACCGCAUCAGCCUAAAUUAUUUUGCAGUCAUCAUCUUCAGCACACAUGAUUACCAUGAGGUAAAUAACAGGUAGGACAGAUAACAAAUACAAUCCCAGGUUUAGCCCUCCAAGGCUCCAUCUCAUGUAUUGACCUCAAGUGCAACCCGCUACCAUUUGCAGUUUGCAGAUCGCAAGAAGUGCCAUGAGAAAGGAUUUGGUGUCACAAAAUGGGAAAUGUGCAAUCCAGCCCCAUGAAGGACCUGCUUUGCAUUUGAACCCGAAAAUUCACUGUUUUGAAAAGAAGGCUGGAACACUUGCAGAUUUGAUCAAUUAAAGUGCUUCACCCAACUCAUACAGUACAAUUCCAAUUCAUGUAUUCACUCCAAGUACAAACCCAUUGCUAUACGAAGGAAGAUUGCUAGAAGUGCCAUGAGUCUUCACAGGAGAGCGAAAAGGAUUUGGUGUCACAGGAUGCGUAAUGUGUAAUCCAGCUCCUCGAAGUACUUGCUUUGCAUUUCCACAUGAAAUUUCUGACUGUUCUGUAAAGAAUGCUGGAACACUUGCAGAUUUUAUUAAUUCAAGUGCACCACCCCAACUCAUAUAGCUAUCUAAUCCACAGUUCAAUGCAACUAUAAUAUGGGGAGAUGGCAGGUAGGUGGCUUCCUCUUGAUAAAUGCCUCUCACGAGAUUCACCCUGACCCUGCUACUUAUUCCUGAAGUUGAGCCCGAUAAAUUGGUAGGAACUUCAGUCCCCACCAUUACAAUAUGUAUAUUGCCUGAUCCAUUGAGCAAAUGGCUAAUCUCUGCAAAUGCUGGCAACCAAUCCAACUCCCCUUCAGGUCCCAGGUAAUGAAGAAUCACCUCUUUCCCCUUGAGUAACAGAUUCUUUGAACUGAUGUUCAGGGUAGUCAAAAUGUAAUAAACUGUCAGUGGGUGAGAAAGAAUGUCAGCAACAGGGCUUGACAGUGGCAGUGACCGAAGAUUAUAGUACUCUGGCCAACCAGAAAGAAGGAUUGGGCUCGAUAUCCCAUCUCCUAAAUGGUUGAGAAAAGGUGAAUCACGAGGAUACUCAUUGUCGUCCAGCCCACCCCAUGAAUUCCACAAUCCACCUUUAACAGGAAGGAGUCCAAAGGGGCAGUGAGAAUAGCAGCUACACUUUCUCCUCCACAUUCCUUUCUGAUGGACACCUAAUGACUCGAGCCAUUUACAAGGUUGUUCAGCAGAACAGGGGAACACAAAGAUUUUUAUUACUAGCUCUUCUUCCCUUUCCAUCAUAGCCUUGUAAAGGCCGCACAUGCUCUUAUGUGUUUCCUUCCAGUGCUGCUUCUGGCAGAAAGAAUCACAGUAGACCACUGCUCGACACUGCCCACAAGAGAGAGCCUGUUCUCCAUGAACUUCUUUCUCACACAUUAUGCACUUCCUCAAGUUGGAAUUUGAGUUUGCUCUCACAUCAAUAAAGAUCUCCUCCCUGGGUCGUUCAGCAUACUUGGUGGGUGUCGAGCUCGCUGUCGAGCUUCCCUUUUCCUCAUAUGCUUGACCAGGCGGAUGCGAGAUUGUAACUGCAACAAGGUCGUAACCCUUGGCCAUUUCUGGAGGCCAGUUAACGUCAACAGUCUCAAUAAAUGGUUCAAAAUACAUCAACUUUGACCACUUUGGAGCACCUUCUUUAUCUUCCUGAAGUAAAGGAUGCACCAGAGACAUGGCUUUCACUAACGCAUACACAAACCUAAGCUCCUCAAGAGUUGGAUGUCUGAACCGAAGAACACCAGAAGACAUACAACGUGCAACAUCAAUUACAGGAAAUCUAUCAGUACCUGAUACUUCCAGUGACAACGACUUGAUCAUUUUCCUAUUAGAAGGAAACAUCAACGAUUCAGGUUCAUAUGUGACCCUCAAAAGCUCAACAUUAGGAACACAAAUUGUCUCUCUAGACCCUGUCAUCUUCUUAGCAUCAUUUUCAGAUCGAAACAAGUAAAAGCCAACAUCCCCACCAUCACCUCCUAUGAACUGAACACAUGGGAAAGGUUGUUUCUUGCUGGACCAAUCUGAGUCCUUCCCUACCCGGAUUCCAAAAAAAUGUGGUGGACGCAAUCUUCUCCAUGGAUCAGUUCUGUAAAGUGCAGCGCAAGCUUUGUAAAUUGACUUGAUGAAAUUAGGAGCAAUACCCUCCACCGUCAUCAAGCAGGUCCCUGAACCAGGACCAAGCCCCGGACCAGAUCCAAAUUGCUCCUGGAAUCUAUCAAACAGGCUCUUCAAAUGCAAAUCCAUUUAAAGGACACGUGUAUCAGAUCUACUGAAUUCUUAUCAGACUCCAAAGCCCGAUUAAAACCAGUAAAUCCAAAAACAAGAACCACCCUUUAUUGCUACUAUACGCACGAGAAAUACUAAAAACUUUAAAAUUGAGAAUGAAUUUGAUCUGAAAGGGCAUAAACCAAACGUACUGAAAACUAGAGAGUCCAAUCACAAGAAAUGCUAGAAAAUCAUAACAUGGUAAUAUUGAACACUAAAGAAAACCUGAAACGGAAGUGGAGAUCGAAAGAAAAUAUCAAAUAAACAUAGAAAGAACAAUGAUCACUGAUCUGUACCAAAACUGGCUGCUGAAACGCGGACCAGAGAGUGACCCAGUUCAAAAGACAGCAAUCAAAAAAACAAGAAUCUUUAUCUUUU